GCAGCCUUCAUUUUCACGCUCAACACAAAUGUGCAGUGUCGCAGGUCCAAUCUGGAGACUGUAAUCAGUGGCUAAACACAGUGCCUAAGAGGGCUGGGACCGCGAGAGCACAGUAACUCAGGAGGCGUACCCAGUCCAGCCUUCAGCCGCCCCUCUCCCCUUGCACCCUGCGGCUUCUAACCCCGCCCCUCCCGAGACCCCGCCCAGAUGCCGACGUCAGUUGUUAUGUCUUGACUGGGGCCGCAGCUGCAGCGGGUCCAGUGCUCCGGGGGCGACGGCCGUGGCCUGAGGAGGCGGCAGGGACGGUGGCCGCGGUUGGCGCGGCGCAUCCGCACAGGGCUAGUCCCCGCGCAGCUACGCAACUGACAGGAAGCCUCCCUGGAGAGCCGCGUCGGGGCCUAGUGUUAUUUGCUUUUUGCUUUUUCUCCCUUCACGACUGUGGUCUCGCGCUCUUCCUCAGCGGGAGCCGCCGCGACGCCCCCUCGCGGGCCGCCGGCCUGAGAGGCGCCGCCCGCGGGAACCUGGAGCCGCCGCCGGGCCUGGGCGGCCG
Molecule: long non-coding RNA, 550 nt
Filed under: Rattus norvegicus (Norway rat)
Lineage: Eukaryota; Metazoa; Chordata; Mammalia; Rodentia; Muridae
Description: long non-coding RNA NONRATT020546
Source: RNAcentral